Molecule: non-coding RNA, 23 nt
Filed under: Arabidopsis thaliana (thale cress)
Lineage: Eukaryota; Viridiplantae; Streptophyta; Magnoliopsida; Brassicales; Brassicaceae
Source: RNAcentral
UUGGCCUACAAGGAUGAGCUUAA